CAGCCGCCGCGGGAAUACAGAGGGUGCAAGCGUUAAUCGGAAUUAGUGAGCGUAAAGCGCACGCAGGCGGUCUGUCAAGUCAGAUGUGAAAUCCCCGGGCUUAACCUGGGAACUGCAUUUGAAACUGGCAGGCUAGAGUCUUGUAGAGGGGGGUAGAAUUCCAGGUGUAGCGGUGAAAUGCGUAGAGAUCUGGAGGAAUACCGGUGGCGAAGGCGGCCCCCUGGACAAAGACUGACGCUCAGGUGCGAAAGCGUGGGGAGCAAACAGGAUUAGAUACCCCAGUAGUCCCUGUCUCUUAUAC
RNAcentral lists this ribosomal RNA (301 nucleotides) under uncultured bacterium. RNAcentral describes it as "partial 16S ribosomal RNA". It matches the Rfam family "Bacterial small subunit ribosomal RNA", at positions 509 to 807 of the family's 1533-position model. The record is from RNAcentral.